UCUUAUCAAGAGAGGUGGAGGGACAGGCCCUAUGAAACCCAGCAACCGGUAUAUUAUUUAUAUACAAGGUGCUAAAUCCUGCAGUACGUUACUGAAAGAUAAG
This 103-nucleotide non-coding RNA is filed under the name human gut metagenome. Its description in RNAcentral is "SAM riboswitch (S box leader)". It matches the Rfam family "SAM riboswitch aptamer (S box leader)". From Rfam's summary of the family: The SAM riboswitch is found upstream of a number of genes which code for proteins involved in methionine or cysteine biosynthesis in Gram-positive bacteria. The SAM riboswitch acts at the level of transcription termination control. The predicted structure consists of a complex stem-loop region followed by a single stem loop terminator region. The record is from RNAcentral.